RNAcentral lists this ribosomal RNA (500 nucleotides) under uncultured bacterium. Its description in RNAcentral is "partial 16S ribosomal RNA". It matches the Rfam family "Bacterial small subunit ribosomal RNA", at positions 30 to 523 of the family's 1533-position model. The record is from RNAcentral.
AUUGAACGCUGGCGGAAUGCUUUACACAUGCAAGUCGAACGGCAGCACGGGGGCAACCCUGGUGGCGAGUGGCGAACGGGUGAGUAAUAUAUCGGAACGUGCCCAGUCGUGGGGGAUAACGUAGCGAAAGUUACGCUAAUACCGCAUACGAUCUACGGAUGAAAGCGGGGGAUCGCAAGACCUCGCGCGAUUGGAGCGGCCGAUAUCAGAUUAGGUAGUUGGUGGGGUAAAGGCUCACCAAGCCAACGAUCUGUAGCUGGUCUGAGAGGACGACCAGCCACACUGGGACUGAGACACGGCCCAGACUCCUACGGGAGGCAGCAGUGGGGAAUUUUGGACAAUGGGCGCAAGCCUGAUCCAGCCAUUCCGCGUGCAGGACGAAGGCCUUCGGGUUGUAAACUGCUUUUGUACGGAACGAAAAAGCCUUGGCUAAUGCCCAGGGUCCAUGACGGUACCGUAAGAAUAAGCACCGGCUAACUACGUGCCAGCCGCCGCCGUAA